GAUGAACGCUAGCGGGAGGCCUAACACAUGCAAGCCGAGCGGUAUUGUUUCUUCGGAAAUGAGAGAGCGGCGUACGGGUGCGUAACACGUGUGCAACCUGCCUUUAUCUGGGGGAUAGCCUUUCGAAAGGAAGAUUAAUACUCCAUAAUAUAUUGAACGGCAUCGUUUAAUAUUGAAAGCUCCGGCGGAUAGAGAUGGGCACGCGCAAGAUUAGCUUGUUGGUGAGGUAACGGCUCACCAAGGCGAUGAUCUUUAGGGGGCCUGAGAGGGUGAUCCACCAAACUGGUACUGAGACACGGACCAGACUCCUACGGGAGGCAGCAGUGAGGAAUAUUGGUCAAUGGGCGCAAGCCUGAACCAGCCAUCCCGCGUGAAGGACGACUGCCCUAUGGGCUGUAAACUUCUUAUGUAUAGCGAUAAACCUACCCUCGUGAGGGUAGCUGAAGGUACUAUACGAAUAAGCACCGGCUAACUCCGUGCCAGCCGCCGCAGUAA
Molecule: ribosomal RNA, 495 nt
Filed under: uncultured bacterium
Lineage: Bacteria
Description: partial 16S ribosomal RNA
Rfam family: Bacterial small subunit ribosomal RNA
Source: RNAcentral